UCGAGCGGUAACAUUUCUAGCUUGCUAGAAGAUGACGAGCGGCGGACGGGUGAGUAAUGCUUGGGAAUAUGCCUUAUGGUGGGGGACAACAGUUGGAAACGACUGCUAAUACCGCAUAAUGUCUUCGGACCAAAGCAGGGGACCUUCGGGCCUUGCGCGUUUUGAUUAGCCCAAGUGGGAUUAGCUAGUUGGUAAGGUAAUGGCUUACCAAGGCGACGAUCCCUAGCUGGUCUUAGAGGAUGACCAGCCACACUGGAACUGAGACACGGUCCAGACUCCUACGGGAGGCAGCAGUGGGGAAUAUUGCACAAUGGAGGAAACUCUGAUGCAGCCAUGCCGCGUGUGUGAAGAAGGCUUUCGGGUUGUAAAGCACUUUCAGUGGGGAGGAAAGGGUUGUAGUUAAUAGCUGCAAUCUGUGACGUUACCCACAGAAGAAGCACCGGCUAACUCCGUGCCAGCAGCCGCGGUAAUACGGAGGGUGCGAGCGUUAAUCGGAAUUACUGGGCGUAAAGCGCGCGUAGGUGGUUAAUUAAGUCAGAUGUGAAA
RNAcentral lists this ribosomal RNA (546 nucleotides) under uncultured bacterium. Its description in RNAcentral is "bacterial SSU rRNA". It matches the Rfam family "Bacterial small subunit ribosomal RNA", at positions 62 to 599 of the family's 1533-position model. The record is from RNAcentral.